CGUGAAAUCGACUGUAAACGUUAAUUAAACUUUUAAUGGCAUAUAAUCAUAGUCAUUUAAUAACAUUAUAGUAUUAAACUGCUAUGGAAUAUUGUAAAACAUAAACCUUUAAUAGCUGUAUUUAAAUUUGCAUGGCACAGGGUAUAAUUUUCGCUUAUUCUUACAAUAAAUUUCACGCCACCUUGGCCACGAAGGCGCAAAAUACGAUCAGCGCGCCCACAUGCGUGCCUGAAACUAGGUUUUGCUGCCUUAAAAUUUGUGGGUGGGAUUUUGGUCAACCAUUUGUCAAAUCCCCGGGGUCCUCCAAUACCCAGCCCCCGUGCACAUAUAUGAAAGGCAAAUUCCCGACCCCCGUGAACUGUCUAUCGGGCAAAUUCCCGGGGGUGUCCCGGGGGGGGGGAUGGUUACUCCAGGAAUUGACUCAUGCAUAAAUUUCUCAUUCAAGUUGAAAUAUUUAACCAAGAAGCUGAUAAAGUGACGUCCAAUUGAAGUAUCAAACGAAUAAUGCAGCGACAACCGCGAUAAUGCUUUGAUAAAUGCAUGGAUAAUUAAUUCUUGCGAUAUUAAAAUGUGUGGAUAAUUAAUUCAUUUUAUUUCGGAUAUCGAAGUCCGAUCCGACUACGAAGUGAAUAUUUUGGUACCGAAAUCCGA
Paramuricea clavata is the source of this 651-nucleotide non-coding RNA. The record is from the annotation of a GenBank genome assembly. NCBI's taxonomy places the organism in Eukaryota, Metazoa, Cnidaria, Anthozoa, Malacalcyonacea, Plexauridae.